RNAcentral lists this ribosomal RNA (484 nucleotides) under uncultured bacterium. RNAcentral's name for it is "partial 16S ribosomal RNA". It matches the Rfam family "Bacterial small subunit ribosomal RNA", at positions 30 to 507 of the family's 1533-position model. The record is from RNAcentral.
AUUGAACGCUGGCGGCAGGCCUAACACAUGCAAGUCGAGCGGAUGAAGGGAGCUUGCUCCUGGAUUCAGCGGCGGACGGGUGAGUAAUGCCUAGGAAACUGCCUGGUAGUGGGGGAUAACGUCCGGAAACGGGCGCUAAUACCGCAUACGUCCUGUGUGAGAAAGUGGGGGAUCUUCGGACCUCACGCUAUCAGAUGAGCCUAGGUCGGAUUAGCUAGUUGGUGGGGUAAAGGCCUACCAAGGCGACGAUCCGUAACUGGUCUGAGAGGAUGAUCAGUCACACUGGAACUGAGACACGGUCCAGACUCCUACGGGAGGCAGCAGUGGGGAAUAUUGGACAAUGGGCGAAAGCCUGAUGCAGCCAUGCCGCGUGUGUGAAGAAGGUCUUCGGAUUGUAAAGCACUUUAAGUUGGGAGGAAGGGCAGUAAGUUAAUACCUUGCUGUUUUGACGUUACCAACAGAAUAGGCACCGGCUAACUUCGUG